AUAGCAUCCAUGUUGUUGCUGGAUCUUCUUUUUUUUCAUGUAGGUCUGUUGCUAUUUGCUUUCUUCUAGACUUGCAGUAAGUCAACAUAAUCUUCAAAAAUACGUACCAGUAUAUAUUGAUUCUUCGCUCUUUAUAUGGCAUUUUAUCCAGUCCAUGUGCUGACACUUUGUUGUACUUGCUUGUGGUCAUUUAUCUGAUGUUUAUUUCUGCUCUUUUCAAAUGUCCACGCAAAAUAGUUCUCACAAGGGCUAGGGUUUCUCUCCAUCAGUCCCAAAAAGCAAAUGAUAGCAUAAUAGCAAAGUGAUAGCAUAAUAGUAAGUGUAAGGCAAGAAUGAUGAGUGGAAGUAGGUAUUCUAGAGAAUAUAUUUGUCAUACAUACAACCAUAAAAUCUUAGCAUCUAUUAAGAAGCUUAGUACAAGAGAACAAACCACACCAGAGAGAGCAGAAGAGAUUAAAAAUAUCAUUAAAGCCUUAAUCUUAUGACAGUACAGAGCUGUUAACACCAGUAAGGCAUCUUUGCCCAAAUGCAUAAAGCAAGCAGCAGUGUUUUGAAUUUAAGCUUUUUGCUGUAGUUUUUGUUUGUUUUCAGUCACUCACCUCUUUCAGUACAGUAUCACUGUUGUUUCUGUAAUCUCCUUUGCGCUGCUGCUAGCUUCUUGUGCUUUGCUGCUCAGCUGCUUACUCACCCAUCUUUUAUACUGACAGCUACACCCUCACGUAAUAAUAACUUGUUUUUAUGCAGUGCAUUCACCUUAGUGAUUUACCCAACCUACUCAUAAGAUUGCAAACCAGAAAACACUCCUUUCACAGGACCCUGCCUGCAAGCAGGCUCUCUAGACUGUUAGUGGGAUGUUUUAUGUGAUUACAAGAUCGCCUCCAGUAUGGCUUCUAAGAUCAGGUGCAAACUAGUGAAGAAUUUCAAUCUGAAUCUUUUUUUUUCACAUGAAAUUACACUGAUUGGGAAAGGAUUUUCUGAAUGAAGCCACCAGAAAAACUACAUAGAAGUCUGAAGUAUUUGGCUGGACUUGUGCUGUGUUACUUGGACAUUCACCCAAAGCUGCUGUGCAGGGGAAAGAAAAGACAUCUGCACAGAGGUCAACUGCAUCUGAUUUGCCUUGUAGAUGGACCCACAGCUCUCUGGUUGUUUAAAGAGAUGAGAUCACAAGUUCCAGUUUUCCUACUAUGCAUCAGCAGGAAUGAGUUAAGGGAGUAAAGCAAGGUUAAAUCAGCUUGAUUUCAUCAGGUGGUAUCUUUUAGCAUUUGUUACUUGUGAAUCUAAAACUGAGUUUAAUGCACAGCACUUCUCUCAUACUAUGGAGU
RNAcentral lists this long non-coding RNA (1322 nucleotides) under Coturnix japonica (Japanese quail). Its description in RNAcentral is "lncRNA (ENSCJPG00005020046.1)". The record is from RNAcentral. Lineage: Eukaryota; Metazoa; Chordata; Aves; Galliformes; Phasianidae.